GUUCUCGUGGGUGUCGGAGUCUCUGUUUGAUCCUUGUUCCCUGGCAACAAGGGGACAUUAGAGCAAACGUGAUGUACAGGCUCUUUGCUAUCAGGAGAUCUGGCCUGGUGCCCAAAGGACUGGAGGGGCUGUGCUCCAUGUGGCAGCCUUGAAGACCCACCCCCCGCUUCACAUGACUAGAAGCCCCCAGCCCCUGCCACAGGAAGGGAGUCACACAAUGAGGGGUCUCUAGCGCUCCAGGUGGGCAGUGCCUGGGAGCACCUGUAAGUGAUCCAGGUUCCUGCCUGCAUGCAUCACCCUGCCCUGCCCUCCAGUUCCUCGCUAUUGACUCAGGUUUGACUCUUGGCUCCGGUCUCUGGCUAUGACUUUGGCAUGACCCUUCUUGGCUCCAGAUGUUCGUUACCAACCCUGGCUCAGUAUUCUCCUUACCCUUCUCUAGCCUUGCUCCAGGCCGUCCACCCACGCGCUCCAGCAUUGCCGCCUCCUGAUAUUCCCCAACCCCUCGGAUUUUGACUACCCGGCUUUGAUCUUCAGCCUGUAUCAGGACUCUAGCUUGACAUGGACUUGGCUGAUCUUUGGUCUCUGACCACCCGGCUUCGACCUCUGGCCUGGACUUGGACUCUGGCUCUGGUUCUGCUUUGUCGAUGGACUCUGAUCUCCGUUUUGAUCCUGGUGUGUCCCUGGACCUUGAUUCUAGCAU
Molecule: long non-coding RNA, 700 nt
Organism: Chrysemys picta bellii (western painted turtle)
Lineage: Eukaryota; Metazoa; Chordata; Testudines; Emydidae
Source: RefSeq, a predicted model, not a curated record